UCGGGAGUAACAACCUGGAAACAAGAUGCUAAUAACCGGAUAACAACAGAUGAUGCCUAUCAACUGUUUAAAAGAUGGUUCUGCUAUCACUCUUGGAUGGACCUGCGGUGCAUUAGCUAGUUGGUAGGGUAACGGCCUACCAAGGCGAUGAUGCAUAGCCGAGUUGAGAGACUGAUCGGCCACAUUGGGACUGAGACACGGCCCAAACUCCUACGGGAGGCAGCAGGU
Molecule: ribosomal RNA, 228 nt
Filed under: uncultured Lactobacillus sp.
Lineage: Bacteria; Bacillati; Bacillota; Bacilli; Lactobacillales; Lactobacillaceae
Description: partial 16S ribosomal RNA
Rfam family: Bacterial small subunit ribosomal RNA
Source: RNAcentral